RNAcentral lists this small RNA (197 nucleotides) under Pan troglodytes (chimpanzee). RNAcentral's name for it is "processed transcript". The record is from RNAcentral. Lineage: Eukaryota; Metazoa; Chordata; Mammalia; Primates; Hominidae.
UGUCUUUAUAAAGUCACACCUUUACAGACUGUAAUCACGUGCGAGUGGAGUGGGGUUCACAGGAUGGUGGGAGUGGGGCCGGGCGUGGGCUCAUAGGAUGGUGUGAGUGGGGCCGCGAGUGGGGCUCACAGGAUGGUGGGAGUGGGGGACAAUGACAACGGCCAGGCGACCGCGAGUGAGAGCGAGGGCCAAGUGAU